This 404-nucleotide ribosomal RNA is filed under the name uncultured bacterium. RNAcentral describes it as "bacterial SSU rRNA". It matches the Rfam family "Bacterial small subunit ribosomal RNA", at positions 522 to 917 of the family's 1533-position model. The record is from RNAcentral.
AAUACGGAAGGGUGCAAGCGUUGCUCGGAAUUUAGUUGGGACGUAAAGCGUACGCAGGCGGUCUACCAAGGUCGGGUGUAGAAACGCCCCGGGCUCGAACCCGGGAAGUGCACUCGAUACUGCGAGACUGGAGUACUGGAGAGGAGAGCGGAAUUCUCGGUGUAGAGGUGAAAUUCGUAGAUAUCGGGAGGAACACCAGCGGCGAAGGCGGCUCUCUGGACAGAUACUGACGCUGAGGCGCGAAAGCGUGGGAAGCAAACAGGAUUAGAUACCCUGGUAGUCCACGCUGUAAACGAUGGCAACUGGGUGUCUCGGGUAUUGACCCCGAUGCGCCGAAGUCAACACGUUAAGUUGCCCGCCUGGGAAGUACGGCCGCAAGGCUAAAACUCAAAGGAAUUGACGGU